Molecule: long non-coding RNA, 806 nt
Organism: Chelonia mydas (Green sea turtle)
Lineage: Eukaryota; Metazoa; Chordata; Testudines; Cheloniidae
Exons: 3
Source: RefSeq, a predicted model, not a curated record
GAGCAAAACCGCCUCCCCCAAACUUUACCUCUGGUCUCCCCCUGCUGGGCCACAAACCGACCCCUCACCCCAGCAAAGCUGGUGGCAGAUGUGUGACAGUCUCUCCCAAAUGUUCAGCAGGGGCAGCAGAGGAAACCACCCAGCCUUCACUUUUGCUUAUUGCCUGGCCUGAUCUGCAGAGGUCUCUGCAUGGGCUAUUAAAAUGCCUUCUCUUUUUUUCUUGUCUCUACCUCCAUCUCCACCUGCUUUUACUCUUUAUCUGUUCUCCUCUCAUUUCCUUUUGUCUUCCUAUGUUUAUUUUCUUUUGUCCUCUCUUCCGUUAUCCCACUUCCAAUCCUUGUCACAUUAUUUCUCACUGUGCCAUCUCCAUCAGUUCCCUCUUCCCUCCUUUCCCUCUUUAAUUUUUACUCCCUGCCCUUCCCUGUCAGCUUUUUCCAUUUCACCCCUUGCCAAUUCAAGUACAGAUCAGCCAAAUUGCACUUAUUUUUUGCAUAGUUUUGUAUUCAGUCCAAGGCAGUUAAACCUUACAUGAAGAAUUUCACUAUGUGUUUCAGUGACACGCUUGAACUCUCAUCCAUGCUUCUGUGAUACCCCCCACUAUUCACAGUGUCUCAACUUGACAGUUUGAACAGAUGGCCUAGUGAUAUGAAACUAUGUGCAAUGAACUGUACCAGCACUGAGGAAGAGUUUUAUGCAAUUGCACUUUAACAUGGAUUUCAAAUUUGCUCAUCGACUUUAAACCCCCUCCCCCCCAUUGCCAUUUAAAGAACAGUCAGACUGGGCAAUAUUCUCCAGAAUAAUGCAGU